CCAAAGGGAAGGCAUGGCAGGAGAAUCCACUUGCCGAGGCCUAGAGACUGCAAUCAAAACAGAGAAAAAGCAAAGAAAGUCUGGCCAUCCGGAGAACUGCCACUGCCAUCCAAGAGGCUGGAGACCACAGAGGCUACAGACAGAAUCUUAAAGGGGCUGGAAGCAACAUUCAGCAUGACCCUUUCUCUGGUCCAGGUCAGGUCCCUGGGUAUCCUCAGAUGAACUAACUGACAGAGAAGUCGGACUUUCAGCCUGAACCUGUCUGCUUACUGAGUCUGCCUCUGCCGCAUCCUUGGGUAAUACUGUCUGAGAGCCGUUAUUUGUCUUGUCAACACAGACCAGGAAAAGAACAUUAAAAAUGAACUCUAUCAACCUUGUCUUUCCCACAUCUUGUCCUCUACAUGAUGUCUAGAAUCCCAGGGUGUGCCUGGCACCUAACCCUCAGGGCAAAAUGAAGAAAAGGCUUGCUUUCUUUAGGGCUUUAACUGUUC
This is a long non-coding RNA of Bos indicus x Bos taurus (hybrid cattle), 491 nucleotides long. Lineage: Eukaryota; Metazoa; Chordata; Mammalia; Artiodactyla; Bovidae. The record is from Ensembl.